UGGAAAAGGUUUCCUCCUAGAAGCCGAGACAUCACUGCACCUAAACUAAACAUGUAUCAACUUCUCCAAAAUGAAUUCAAUUUCUUCUCUCAACACCACACCAUCAUACACUCUACACCUAAUUCCAUCUAAUCAACUUCUUUAACAAAGAAAUAAAGCAAAUAAAGAAAAGAGGAACUCAUUACCUAGUCACGUCCCAACCUCCUAGUCCACCUAAUCUACUUCUAAUUUCAUCAACUAAUUAAAAGAAACACUUUAAUGGCAUGAAGCCUCUG
Molecule: long non-coding RNA, 275 nt
Filed under: Vigna radiata
Lineage: Eukaryota; Viridiplantae; Streptophyta; Magnoliopsida; Fabales; Fabaceae
Description: long non-coding RNA (VRAD_LNC012030)
Source: RNAcentral